UUUUAUUUGAGAGUUUGAUCCUGGCUCAGGAUGAACGCUGGCGGCGUGCCUAACACAUGCAAGUUGAGCGAUUUACUUCGGUAAAGAGCGGCGGACGGGGGAGUAACGCGUGGGUAACCUACCCUGUACACACGGAUAACAUACCGAAAGGUAUGCUAAUACGGGAUAAUAUAUUUGAGAGGCAUCUCUUGAAUAUCAAAGGUGAG
This 206-nucleotide ribosomal RNA is filed under the name Clostridioides difficile. RNAcentral's name for it is "partial 16S ribosomal RNA". It matches the Rfam family "Bacterial small subunit ribosomal RNA", at positions 1 to 211 of the family's 1533-position model. The record is from RNAcentral. Lineage: Bacteria; Bacillati; Bacillota; Clostridia; Peptostreptococcales; Peptostreptococcaceae.